This 3321-nucleotide ribosomal RNA is filed under the name Carnegiea gigantea. Its description in RNAcentral is "bacterial LSU rRNA". The stretch from base 2735 to 3321 matches the Rfam family "Bacterial large subunit ribosomal RNA". The record is from RNAcentral. Lineage: Eukaryota; Viridiplantae; Streptophyta; Magnoliopsida; Caryophyllales; Cactaceae.
GUUUAAUAAUCAAUCAUUUUCCCUUUGGGCCCGUUUCUUGUCCUACGCAUGCAAGCAAGUUGAAUUGAACUUCUCUAUUAUGCGAUUGACAUCUAAUUGCAUCAUCAUACAACUAAGGGUAAUACAGAGAAUAGGCCUGAUAUUUAUUAGGCAACAUACAAAGUGCUUUGACUCAUCAAUCAUGCAUCAAAUAUACUUGUAGAUGAGGAAAAGACAUCCAAGUACGUGGUAGGGUUCUGCACAUCCAAUCUUGUGUAGUCACUUGGCUUCUAAUAAUCUUGUUGCCGCAGUCCUCUUUGGGUGCACAAUGAGCACAUUUUAUUGAGGACAUCAUUUUUACUUAAUUAUGUGACUGAUGCCUUUGAUCUUUAAUUUUCUUGAUACUUAAUUGAAUGCCAAAGUUUUGAAGUUUUUUUUUCAUUUAUGUUUAGGAAAAAUAUUAAAUGCUUAACAUAGAAAAUUUGAGAUCUCCAACUAAUUUACAGAUUCAAAUUACUGCUAAUUGUGUGUUAAAACAAUUAAAUGAGACACAGUUUCAAACCUUUUGUUAUGUGCAUAAUUUGGAAUUACUUUUACUAGAAUUUUAAAAAGAUACAAAUUACAUGAAAAUCAACUUGAUAAUUUCAUGAUAGUCAGCUAAAUAAAAUAGGGGCUCAUGUUAUCUUACAAAUUAAAUUUAAAAAUAGGUUACUUUUAAAGUUGAUUUUUUUAAAACAGAAAAUAUGGCACAAAGUAGAUGUGAGACAUUUUGAUGGUGUCAUUUCGGCCCUGUUCGCUAAAAUUAGCGGUUCAAGUAGCAGAUAGUGGUUUAGGUAGCGGAUAGCUGUUCAGGUAGCGGAUAGCAUUUCUAAUUUAGCUAUUAGCGGAUAGCUGUUUAGAAGAGCAGUUGAAUAAAAUGUGUUCGAUAAAUUUAGCUGUUGGAUUAGCUGAUUAAUGUAAAUUGACAUAAAAGGAUAUAGAUAAUUUCCAAAGAUAAAGUUUUCAAAGGGUAAUUUUUGGUGAAAAAAUAUGAAACGCUACUUUUGAAUGUCAAACGUUAAUACUAUUAGCUUUUCAAAAAGGCUGCUUAAAACGCUAAACGCUACUUGAAAUACUAGUCAAAACACUACGCUACCGAAUACUAAAAAUUACGCGAUGAGUGUAUUGACUUAGUCAAAACGCUAAACGCUACCUAAAAUGCUGUUGUCGAACACGUCCUUCUUCACAUAAAGAAGCAAAAUACUCGUCCAACAUCUUUAUCCCAUAGGCCAUAGGAUCCGUAAAGCUUAUGGAAUAUUGUCUAUUCUCUAUCCCCGAAAGAUGAAUACACCAUUGAUUCUGGUCUAUGUCCAUGACUGCACUCAUAAAAUCUUCCCGACCCUUAGACGGACUAUAAAUUACUUCCCCACCAUUAUUACAUGGGCAAUAAAUUAUUGAUCAGCUUGUCAUUCAGACGGAUGGAUGCUUGUGGAUGUUGGAAUCACAUUCAUCGUCAUAAUUGAUUAGGGGAAUAUGUCAGAUUAGGGCUAUGAUUUAAGCAAAAUAACUCUUAAUUAAGUUAUUUCAUCAAAAUUUGGCUUAUUCAGAUUGAUAAUCGCAGUGUUUUUAUCUAAACGAACAGGUUGGUUUAAGUGAUUUGAUAUUACUUCCCCUUAAGUAAAGUCUCCGAUUCAAAUCUUGCAAAUGGAAAAAAUCUGUUAUAGGCGAGCUUACUCUUUUAUGGACCAACUCCUAGUUGGUAUCAUUUUUUCCCUGAUUAUUAUUAGCUAAAAGGCAAUCAAAAUACAUAACUUUAACAACAUUCAAGACAAAUAAGAAACCACUACGACACACCAAAAAAACACAAGGUUCUUUUGAUCUAAAACUUCUUACAUUGCUAGUAUAUGAGGCCCUACAAAGCCUCCUCAAUCUAGGAUUUGAAUCACAAAAGAGAUGCCCUGCUUGAUUUGAUGUCAUAUUCGUAUAUGCAUGGUUUUAUCUUAGCCCUUUUUCUAAAAGUCAAUAUAUUGUUGGAAUGUCCAUAUUCAGUGGCCUAAUGUUAAUUGACUAGUGUUCAUAUCAUAUAUCAUAUCAUCAUAUCAUCAUAUAUAUGUAUAUAUGUUUGGGUUUUGGGGUGGGAUUUCAAGGUCUAUGGAUGAGGAAUAUUAAAUGAGUAGAAUUACUAUUUGAUACAUAUGAAUUGGCAAUAUAUAUACAUUUAUUUUAUUAAUUAACUUAGUCCAUUAGUAUAAAUAUCUAAGCAAUUGGAAUGAAAAAUUAUCACUUCAUCUUUCACCACUAAAUCCUUCAUUUAAAUUGUUAUUAAUAGAAAAAGAAAAUAAUAUAUAACAUUGAUAAAAUAGUAUUAAUAGUAUCAGUAACAAUCAUGUAUACCAAUAUACAUGGAUCAUACCCUUCAUUCUACUUCUAGUUCCUUUGUUAAUAGGAGUGGGACUUCUCCUUUUUUCGACGACAACACAAAAUCUUCGAUGUAUAUGGGCUUUUUCUAGUAUAUUUUUUGUUAAGUAUAGUUAUGAUUUUCUCAAUGAAGCUGUCUAUUUAGCAAACAAAUAGCAAUUUGAUUUAUCAAUGUGUAUGGUCUUGGACUAUUAAUAAUGAUUUUUCUUUAGAAUUCGGCUACUGGAUUGGUAAACUUACCUCUAAUUAUGUCAACUACUGUUGCAAUUCUAGUUCUUAUUUAAAGUGAUAAUUAUAUGUCUCAUGAUUGGGGAUAUUUGAGAUUUUUUGCUUAUAUGAGUUUUUUCAAUAUUUCUAUGUUGGAAUUAGUUACCAGUUCAAAUUCGAUGCAAAUUUUUAUUUUUUGGGAAUUAGUUGGAAUGUGUUCGUAUCUAUUAAUAGGGUUGCACCUUGAUGUCGGCUUUUCGCCACCUGGGGUUGUAGGAUGUUCCAAGGGUUAGGCUGUUCACCCAUUAGAGUGGUACAUGAGCUGGGUUCAGAACAUUGUGAGAUAGUUCGGUCAAUGUCCGGUGUGAGCAUUAGAGCAUUGAGAAGACUUUUCUCUAGUACAAAAGGACUGAGAAGGACGCAUCUCUGGUGUACCAGUUAUCGUACCCAUGGUAAACGCUGGAUAGUCAAGUAUGGAGCGGAUACCUACUGAAAGCAUCUUAAGUAGUAAACCUACCCCAUGAUGAGUGCUCUUAUAUUUCGACUUUCCCAAAGCCAUCGAUAGCACAGCCGAGAUACCGAAGGGUUCUCUGCCCCUAUGGGGAUGGAGCGACAGAAGUUUGAGAAUUCAAGAAUAAGGUCACGACAAGACGAGCAGUUUAUCAUUACGAUAGGUGUCAAGUGGAAGUGUAGUAAUGUAUGCAGCUAAGACAUCCUAAUAGACCGAAAGACUUGAAC